GAUCGAUUGAUGUUAUCCAAGCGGAUUGCAUUUUGUUCAUCAACUCAUUAAUGUAAUUACAAUUUGAAUCUAAUUUAAUCGAUGAGAACAGAGUUCAUACCUUCUUCUCGAUGGGGUUUGCGGAAAAUUUUACAUCAAUUUCUCAAAGGAUCUCAAGAUCUGAAUCGGGUGUAGGAGGGGAAGAAAUCAAAUCUCUGAAGCGGCGGAAAAUCUUUUUUGUUUUUGUUUUGCUUACGAAUCGCCAUGUUUGUGCCAACAGACGAGCAUUGCAACGCAGCGUCUCAUGAUGUAGAAUCGGGCCUUCUGUUCCUUGGCUAAGCUGCUGUACUUUCUUCCUAUGGAAGAAGAGCUCUUCUGCGAGUAACUUCGAGGGAGAUCGUGGGGGCUCUUGGAAUUGGAAGCUGGGAAGCUUUUCUGUGAAGAACAUCGCAACAAUGGCGAUUUGGAGGUCGAGCCACUCCUCAUGAACGAUGAAGAAUGGUGAGAGAGAGACAAACAGAGGCAUCCAUUCAAUCUGGGGAAGUGGAAGGAAAUAAUGGAAAGGAGACAGCUUGCUAGCUGUUUAUGACGUGGAAGAAGGGGGAAACAUGCAAUUAUUUGCCCAUUUUUGUUCUUAUUAGAAGAGAAGGGAUCUAUAACUCAACCUUUUCUUUCCCUCUGUCCUUUUGUUA
This is a long non-coding RNA of Cucurbita maxima (winter squash), 671 nucleotides long. RefSeq lists it as uncharacterized. The transcript is spliced from 3 exons. NCBI's taxonomy places the organism in Eukaryota, Viridiplantae, Streptophyta, Magnoliopsida, Cucurbitales, Cucurbitaceae. The record is from RefSeq and is a predicted model, not a curated record.